CGCGGGGUGGAGCAGCCCGGUAGCUCGUCAGGCUCAUAACCUGAAGGUCAUAGGUUCAAAUCCUAUCCCCGCAA
Non-coding RNA from Bradyrhizobium erythrophlei, 74 nucleotides. Lineage: Bacteria; Pseudomonadati; Pseudomonadota; Alphaproteobacteria; Hyphomicrobiales; Nitrobacteraceae. The record is from Rfam.